GUCUAUGGCCAUGCUACCCUGAACAAGCCCAAUCCCAUCUGAUCUCAGAAGCUAAGCAGGGUCCAGCCUGGUUAGUACUUGGAUGGCAGACCACCUAGGAAGACCAGGUGCUUAGGGGU
Molecule: ribosomal RNA, 119 nt
Filed under: Pteropus alecto (black flying fox)
Lineage: Eukaryota; Metazoa; Chordata; Mammalia; Chiroptera; Pteropodidae
Source: RNAcentral